This 1154-nucleotide ribosomal RNA is filed under the name Vibrio sp. RNAcentral's name for it is "bacterial SSU rRNA". It matches the Rfam family "Bacterial small subunit ribosomal RNA", at positions 202 to 1346 of the family's 1533-position model. Lineage: Bacteria; Pseudomonadati; Pseudomonadota; Gammaproteobacteria; Vibrionales; Vibrionaceae. The record is from RNAcentral.
GGACCUUCGGGCUUUUCGCGUCAGGAUAUGCCUAGGUGGGAUUAGCUAGUUGGUGAGGUAAUGGUUCACCAAGGGGACGAUCCCUAGCUGGUCUGAGAGGAUGAUCAGCCACACUGGAACUGAGACACGGUCCAGACUCCUACGGGAGGCAGCAGUGGGGAAUAUUGCACAAUGGGCGCAAGCCUGAUGCAGCCAUGCCGCGUGUGUGAAGAAGGCCUUCGGGUUGUAAAGCACUUUCAGUCGUGAGGAAGGUAGUGUAGUUAAUAGCUGCAUUAUUUGACGUUAGCGACAGAAGAAGCACCGGCUAACUCCGUGCCAGCAGCCGCGGUAAUACGGAGGGUGCGAGCGUUAAUCGGAAUUACUGGGCGUAAAGCGCAUGCAGGUGGUUUGUUAAGUCAGAUGUGAAAGCCCGGGGCUCAACCUCGGAAUAGCAUUUGAAACUGGCAGACUAGAGUACUGUAGAGGGGGGUAGAAUUUCAGGUGUAGCGGUGAAAUGCGUAGAGAUCUGAAGGAAUACCGGUGGCGAAGGCGGCCCCCUGGACAGAUACUGACACUCAGAUGCGAAAGCGUGGGGAGCAAACAGGAUUAGAUACCCUGGUAGUCCACGCCGUAAACGAUGUCUACUUGGAGGUUGUGGCCUUGAGCCGUGGCUUUCGGAGCUAACGCGUUAAGUAGACCGCCUGGGGAGUACGGUCGCAAGAUUAAAACUCAAAUGAAUUGACGGGGGCCCGCACAAGCGGUGGAGCAUGUGGUUUAAUUCGAUGCAACGCGAAGAACCUUACCUACUCUUGACAUCCAGAGAACUUUCCAGAGAUGGAUUGGUGCCUUCGGGAACUCUGAGACAGGUGCUGCAUGGCUGUCGUCAGCUCGUGUUGUGAAAUGUUGGGUUAAGUCCCGCAACGAGCGCAACCCUUAUCCUUGUUUGCCAGCGAGUAAUGUCGGGAACUCCAGGGAGACUGCCGGUGAUAAACCGGAGGAAGGUGGGGACGACGUCAAGUCAUCAUGGCCCUUACGAGUAGGGCUACACACGUGCUACAAUGGCGCAUACAGAGGGCAGCAAGCUAGCGAUAGUGAGCGAAUCCCAAAAAGUGCGUCGUAGUCCGGAUUGGAGUCUGCAACUCGACUCCAUGAAGUCGGAAUCGCUAGUAAUCGUG